RNAcentral lists this ribosomal RNA (606 nucleotides) under uncultured fungus. RNAcentral's name for it is "eukaryotic LSU rRNA". The stretch from base 244 to 397 matches the Rfam family "5.8S ribosomal RNA". The record is from RNAcentral. Lineage: Eukaryota; Fungi.
CAUUAUUGAAAUAAACCUGAUGGGUUGCUGCUGGCUCUCUAGGGAGCAUGUGCACACUUGUCAUCUUUAUAUCUCCACCUGUGCACCUUUUGUAGAUCUGGAUAUUUUUCUGAAUGCUUGCCAUUCAGGUUUGAGGAUUGACUUUUGUCUUUCCUUACAUUUCCAGGCCUAUGUUUUCUUCAUAUACACCAUUUAUGUUAUAGAAUGUAAUGAAAAGGGCCUUUGUGCCUACAAACCUUAUACAACUUUCAGCAACGGAUCUCUUGGCUCUCGCAUCGAUGAAGAACGCAGCGAAAUGCGAUAAGUAAUGUGAAUUGCAGAAUUCAGUGAAUCAUCGAAUCUUUGAACGCACCUUGCGCUCCUUGGUAUUCCGAGGAGCAUGCCUGUUUGAGUGUCAUUAAUAUAUCAACCUCCUCAGGUUUUGACUUGUCGAGUGUUUGGAUGUGGGGGUCUUUUGCUGGUCUCUUUUGAGGUCGGCUCCCCUAAAAUGCAUUAGCGGAACAAUUUGUUGACCCGUUCAUUGGUGUGAUAACUAUCUACGCUUUUGACGUGAAGCAGGUUCAGCUUCUAACAGUCCAUUGACUUGGACAAAUUUUCAUUAAUGUG